This 2224-nucleotide unclassified non-coding RNA is filed under the name Leishmania donovani. RNAcentral describes it as "gene:LdHU3.29.1740(CDS-product:hypothetical_prote in_conserved)". Lineage: Eukaryota; Euglenozoa; Kinetoplastea; Trypanosomatida; Trypanosomatidae. The record is from RNAcentral.
CUUCGCCUGGAUUGUCUUUUGCCGGCUCUUUCAUCGCGGCCCUCUUUCGCUGUAUUGUUUCGUCUCGUGUGCCCCUGUAUCGCGCGCGUCUCAGAUCGUUGGCGCCCGCAGCGUGCACACGUGCUCCCCCGUUCGCGUACACUGGACAGCAAGGGGAACGACACAUAAAAAUGAUCACCGCUACCGCCGAUGCUGGGUCGGCCGCCAAAGCCGCGGCAACACCGCCAGCGCGCUUGUUUGACUGCUUGGACGCGGCCAGCAAGGAGCGAGUGACGAUGCUGCUGAGCCACUACCAGGUACUUCUCCCAGUGGAGCAAGCCUCCUUCAUGCAGGAGCUCGAGCGGUACAACCAGGAGCAACAGACGACCGCGCUGGCGCGGAACAAGGCUGGUGAGGUGUGGAUACGCUACACCAACCCGCGUCUGCAGGCAGUGCAGGCACGUGAUCCUGCGUAUGUCCAGCGGUUGAUUUCCCACACAGCUGCUUCUCGUGGGUCAAAGGGCGAUGAGGCAUCCGAGGAGGCGACUGCACCGUGCUCGCUGGAGGAUCUUGUCCAUACUCGCGGCAUGUUCGGCGAGCCGGAAGGCGUUCCGAUCCGCGUGGGUAAGAUGUCGCUGUAUGAGAAACUGCAUCAGAACAUGAGAAACCGGCGGAGCACCGCGGGUGGGAGCUUGACAAACACCACCACCUCAAGCAUCCCUACCGCCGCCGAUCCGGGUCAUGGUGCUGCACGCGUCUCCGUUCCGUUUGGGCCUUUCGCUGAGGCAGAGGCGAAACCGGCUGAGGGCAAGCGUGAGGUGGGCGAUAACGCCUCUCCGAAGACAUCGGCGCAGUCCGAGAGCGGCGAGCGCGCAGUGGCACUUGCGUGCGCUGACACUUUCCCGUCUCACACAUCGUCGGUCAGGCCGUCUGCUCCAUACCGCAACAACGCGUACCAGGCCGUGCGUCUUGCAAUGAACUCGCCUGGUUACACUGCGACGACGCAGCCGACCUCGGUGGCGGAGCUACAAACGCCGCUCGACGGCGUGAAACCAGUGUUGAACACCACCGCCUUCCCGAUCACGGAAGAGGAGCUGCGCGAUUGGUUCGAUGAGCUGGAUGUACAUGGGCGUGGCGUCUUGAGCGUCGAGGAGUUCCAGCGCUACAUGCAAGCCUUGGAGCGUGACCUCGGUGUCCCGACAGAGUACGCGACGCUGGAGCUCGACGGAGCGCCGCUAGCGAAGGAUGGCUGGCUCAACUUCGAGGCCUUUUCCUACCUCGUGCUCCGCUUUGCGCGUGCCUGAGGAGAGAGAAAAACGAGACCGACGACGAGGAAGAAACUUCGGGCAUCUUUCCUUUUUGUGUGCGUGCGUGCGUGCGUGUGUGUGUGUGUGUGUGGCGUCUCUUGUCUCCUCUCUCUCUCCCCCUUCUCUCGCAGCCAGGCUGCUUUCGCUUUCUCUGGCCUUGCACCCACAACACCCCUCUUCGUGCUUCUAGUGUAUCUGUGCGGGACCGCAGAGCCGUAGCACACACGCAGGCGCACGCGGGCAUCAUCGCCUCCUUUGCCUUCUCCUUCAUCGCUUCUCUCAGAUGUGUUGUUUUGUGUGCUCCCAUUUCCUUUGAUUACCCUGUUCGUAUAUUGUCUCCCCCUCCCCACUGCUCACCAUGUAAUUUUUUUUUUUGCUGUCGGGAAAGGGGCUUCCGUUGCCCACCUCGUUGAAGCAGCGGACAACGUAUAAAGGCAGGUGGAGAGAGAAAAUGGGUUUGGACGUUGUGUGUGUGCGUGCGUUGGAGGGACAGCGACGGCGUUUUAGAUGACAUGAAAGGAUAGAGCCAUCGAAAGAAGUUGCCUGCGUCUUCUCUUCAUCGCACGGCGUCGAUGCUGCUAUCGUUUUAGCUGAUCCGCUGCAUCUCUCUCUCUUGACAUGCACGUGUGCGUUUCUGUGCUUGUGCACGUCAGUGUAUAUCAUCAUCCUGUUAGAAUUGUGUGCCGCGCGGCGUGUCAAAAGUUUUUUUUUUCGGUUAUCUGUGGUGGGAGCGUAUUUGCGUGCCAUUCACUUUUCGCUUUUCGUGCGGUGCUCUCUCCCCAGUCCUCUUUUCUUUCGUUCAGUGCAUCUCUUCUCACGUGUUAUGUCUCUCCCUCUCUCUUCCACGGCAGGUCACCUCCUUCCACACGUGCAUAUUACACCCACGCGCACCCAUGUACAUCAUUGAAAACCUGUCAGCUUCGUGGCCCCAUACCUGG